GCAAUGGCAAGUGAUCUAUAAAGGAUUUUAAAAAACCUGUACGUUUCUCCAUCAGCCUUUGACCUUUGAUUUGGGAAUGUUGUGUUGAAUCAAGAGAGAGGAAUUAACCAUAGUUCUAUUCUGCUAUUACGUUCAUUAAUCUGUCAUACUUCAUCGCACAUUGCACAGACCACCCUGCAGAUCCUGCUGCCGGCCCUGGCCCGCAUUCUAUGGGUGACGGGCUUUUAUGACAACGCUGACACACUCGAGGGGUGGAUCCUUCACUGCCUUUGAGCAGAAAAGACUGGAGCUCAUCCAGGAAGUUAAAUAUUUGGCGAAGUAACUGUGGCGGCAGGGUUCUCCGACCAAGGUCUAGCACACCCUCUUCCAAGAGGUACUGUAUGUUCCCCAUAAUGUGUGUGUGUGUGUGUGUGCAGUUAUUCCUAACCCUCAAACUGAUGAACAAUAAUUUCUCCAUUUCAAUAUUUUCCAGCUUUCUAACAGGUGUGUUUUGCAAUAUCUAAUGCACACAUAUAAAUUACAUUUAGAAUACUCAAUUAUAAUGCUUGUUAGAUUUGUUAGCACUAAGAUAUCGAUUUUCCAACUUCAGACAGCAAUUAACAUGCUUUGCUUGUUCAUUUUAAAGUUCCCAGACCUCACUGAAAGUCCACCUGGGAAUGCCAGAGGACAGUAUCAUCAGCAGUGUCCAGGAGCAACUGUCAAAAUCUGACCAAAUGGUGGCUGCAGGACAGCUUUCACAAAUAGAUAAAGUGGUUGGAACUAUGCUGGAGAACAUUGAGAAGAUAAGCAGCGAAUGUGGCGAGGAAUUGGUCUAUCAAGAGUCACUGCGGUCUUCCUCCUCGUUGUCAUUCUCAACUGCCAAAUCACAGAAGACAGAGUGGGAAUUUGCACUCCCAUUCCUUCUGAGUUACCCGAGAGUACUGCUCAGCCCAUUGUAAGAUGCUCAGUCAUUGACAUGAGCGAAUCUACUAAGCCAAAAACAAUGGUGUGUGAUGCCAGAACAAGCAUGUUUGCCAUAGCCGAUACCAUCAUGAAGACGGUAUAUCCAGAGGCAGAAGGGCAGGUUACAUCUCACCCUGAUCUAACAGAUCCAAUAGCUAGACUGGAGGAGCUCAUAUCUCAGGGUAGGAUUGGUGCUCUCUCCCGUGAUCUCAGUCACCAAGUCAACCGCAUAAUUUCCGAUAGCAACUUGACCCCUCUGGGACUGACAGUGGCGGCUGGAAAGAGUGCAUCUGAUACCAUCCUUUCGAAGCUGAAGAGGAAUGACAAGGUGGGGAAGCCCACAACUUACGAGCUGGUUCAGCUGUUUGUAGAGGAGUCUGUUAAGUGCCUCCUGCUUCCUAGUUUUGUGCCCUAUUCAACUUCAAUGAGUUUGGCUCAGGGGGCCAAGGUGUUGGCUAGAGUGUCUGAAGAUAGAAUUUCAUGCUCUUCUUCUUCAUCAGUAUUUAGUGACACAGUCAGUCUCUUUACCAAAGUUAUGGUAAGCCAGGUCAUGUACUCUGUGGAUUCUGAUGCAGAAAGUAGAGGAUCCUCUCCAACUGAAUCUCUCCAAACAUCUGAAACCACUAUAUCUGAUGUAGGCAAUCUAUUGAGUGGCAAGUCCUCCCCUCGGCUGUCUCCUUCUGGCUCCAUUAUGGCAACAAGCGAGACCUCCAAUGCAGCACAAAUCUUGAAGGCCAACAUUGAUGGAGAGGAAGUGGAUACCACCAGUCAUUCUGGUGUAGCUCAAAACAUUGUCAGGGACGAUAUGUCAACCAGCCCAGACAUGGUCAAAGAUGUCACACUUCCAACCCCAUCCUCUGAUAACUUGGGCGGUGAUGAUGACGUCACCGGCCUCAUCAGCAUGUUAGUAAUGAGAAUUCUAACAGAAAUCCAAACCCCAGCAGAAGAUUACCCAGUUGACGUCACACGCAAGUCACAAGACCUGAUCCCUAAAGUUAUGGAGGUCUUCUGUGCAUGGUCAGGCUGCUCUGAGACACAAGCCUAUCCAGAGAACUUGAGGAUUCAUAAAGUCUACAGAGUCGUCUAUAAAAAUCUGUUGGAGGAGUUUGGCUCGGAGAAAAUCCUCCAACAGGCCGUGUCGACUCAGGACUCUUCAUUUGAUAGGAUUCUUGUCAAGUCUUUGAGUGAAGCGCUUCUCCACAGAUGUAAUGAGGCAUUGAGGGCAGCCUCAAGAACAUCAGUCAAAACCACCGGGCCUAAGGCUUUUCCACUGGCUGAGGAUGUGAGGGCUAGCAGCGGGAAACUAUCUUUUCUACAAAGGCUGGUCAGGCUGACAAGCAACUUAAAGCUAUUCAAGAAGGGGAACAAGAAGGAUUCCCACCGCUCUGAAUCAGAACAAGUACAGACCACUGCUGAAGAUGGCAUGCUGCCCAGCAUAGUGCCACAUGCUGCCAUGUCUGCACUGCCAAAGGAUCUCCCCGCCAGCUCCCAACAGGAGACGCCUCACAAACGUCCACUUCUCGUCAGGAUGUUUUCUGCCAUCUCCAAAGGCCUUUUCAAGCCCUUCUUCACAGUCUCUCUUCUGACACUGUGUGACAUGCCCUCUGAUCCAGUGAUCUAGGAUAUUCUGAGUGGCUUUAGGCCUGAAUCUCUGCCCUCCUGCCCAAAUAAAUGUUUUCUCUUCUGAUAUAUCUGCCUCUGUCAGCAGCCAGCAGGGGAAAACAGACAGCACUGUUGAGAGCUGUGGGCACCUAGCUGCUGCCCCCGCUGGGCUUGGACUGGGUCUUGCCCCUCAUGGCCCCUCCGCGAGCCUGUCCCCAGUACAGCAGCAGCCAGCCAAGGGCCAGGCUCGCGGAGGGGCCAUGAGGGGCAAGACCCAGUCCAAGCCCAGCGGGGGCAGCAGCUAGGUGCCCACAGCUCUCAACAGUGCUGUCUGUUUUCCCCUGCUGGCUGCUGACAGAGGCAGAUAUAUCAGAAGAGAAAACAUUUAUUUGGGCAGGAGGGCAGAGAUUCAGGCCUAAAGCCACUGCAGCGGAAACUGGGGCCUGUUGGGCCGGGCUGUGAGGAGGGGGGGUCUGUAUCUGAAGCGAGGCAGCUGCAGUCCCCACCUGCUGCUGGAGGAGCUUCUGCUGAACCACCUGGGCUGUGCCUGCUGGAAUCAUCUGGACCUGGGGAUGUAGUCUGGGUCAGGGCAACCGUCAGGGGCUGGAUCUGUUACGAGACAGGAAGAGGGUCACAUUAAAUCAGACAGAAGACAACAUCAAGUGUAAAAUGAUCACUCGUGGUUGUAAUCUGUUGAUCACUCGUGGUUGUAAUCUGUUGAUCACUCGUGGUUGUAAUCUGUUGGCAUCGUCCCUGGGUGUCACUUCUGUAGCAGUAUUGUUAAGAGUGUAUGAUUGUUUUUUUUUAAUUUUAACUUUAACUUUCUAACUUCAGUUAAGAACAAAUUCUUAUUUACAACGACGGCCAUAAGAACAGUGGGUUAAUUGCCUUGUUCAAGGGCAGAACGACAGAUUUUUACCUUGUCAGCUCGGGGAUUUGAUCUGGCAACCUCUCGGUUACUGGCCCAAUGCUCUAACCACGAGGCUAUCUGCCGCCCCACAUACAUGUAUGUAUGUAUGUAUGUAUGUAUGUACGUAGUGGGGCAAAAAAGUAUUUAGUCAGCCACCAAUUGUGGCUCCCACUUAAAAAGAUGAGAGAGGCCUGUAAUUUUCAUCAUAGGUACACUUCAACUAUGACAGACAAAAUGAGAAAAAAAAUCAAAUUGUAGGAUUUUUUAGGAAUUUAUUUUAAAUUAAGGUGGAAAAUAAGUAUUUGGUCAAUAACAAAAGUUUAUCUCAAUACUUUGUUAUAUACCCUUUGUUGGCAAUGACAAAGGUCAAAUGUUUUCUGUAAGUCUUCACAAGGUUUUCACACACUGUUGCUGGUAUUUUGGCCCAUUCCUCCAUGCAGACCUCCUCUAGAGCAGUGAUGUUUUGGGGCUGUUGCUGGGCAACACGGACUUUCAACUCCCUCCAAAGAUUUUCUAUGGGGUUGAGAUCUGGAGACUGGCUAGGCCACAGGACCUUGAAAUGCUUCUUACGAAGCCACUCCUUCCUUGCCCGGGUGGUGUGUUUGGGAUCAUUGUCAUACUGAAAGACACAGCCACGUUUCAUCUUCAAUGCCCUUGCUGAUGGAAGGAGGUUUUCACUCAAAAUCUCACGAUACAUGGCCCCAUUCAUUCUUUCCUUUACACGGAGCAGUUGUCCUGGUCUCUUUGCAGAAAAACAGCCCCAAGCUGUUUCCACCCCCAUGCUUCACAGUAGGUAUGGUGUUCUUUGGAUGCAACUCAGCAUUCUUUGUCCUCCAAACACGACGAGUUGAGUUUUUACCAAAAAGUUAUAUUUUGGUUUCAUCUGACCGUAUGACAUUCUCCCAAUCUGGCACUGCAGGAUUUGAGUCCCUGGCGGCGUAGUGUGUUACUGAUGGUAGGCUUUGUUACUUUGGUCCCAGCUCUCUGCAGGUCAUUCACUAGGUCCCCCCGUGUGGUUCUGGGAUUUUUGCUCACCGUUCUUGUGAUCAUUUUGACCCCACGGGGUGAGAUCUUGCGUUGAGCCCCAGAUCGAGGGAGAUUAUCAGUGGUUUUGUAUGCCUUCCAUUUCCUAAUAUUUGCUCCCACAGUUGAUUUCUUCAAAGUUUGGAGUUUGGAGUGUGACUGUUUGAGGUUGUGGACAGAUGUCUUUUAUACUGAUAACAAGAUCAAACAUUAAGACAAACAUUAAUACAGGUAACGAGUGGAAGACAGAGGAGCCUCUUCAAGAAGAAGUUACAGGCCUGUGAGAGCCAGAAAUCUUGCUUGUUUGUAGGUGACCAAAUACUUAUUUUCCACCAUAAUUUGCAAAUAAAUUCAUUAAAAAUCCUACAAUGUGAUUUUCUGGAUUUUCUUUUCUCCUUUUGUCUGUCAUAGUUGAAGUGUACCUACGAUGAAAAUUACAGGCCUCUCUCAUCUUUUUAAGUGGGAGAACUUGCACAAUUGGUGGCUGACUAAAUACUUUUUUGCCCCACUGUAUGUAUGUAUGUACACUGCUCAAAAAAAGAAAGGGAACACUAAAAUAACACAUCCUAGAUCUGAAUUAAUGAAAUAUUCUUAUUAAAUACUUUUUUCUUUACAUAGUUGAAUGUGCUGACAACAAAAUCACACACAAAUUAUCAAUGGAAAUCAAAUGUAUCAACCCAUGGAGGUCUGGAUUUGGAGUCACACUCAAAAUUAAAGUGGAAAACCACACUACAGGCUGAUCCAACUUUGAUGUAAUGUCCUUAAAAGAAGUCAAAAUGAGGCUCAGUAGUGUAUGUGGCCUCCACUUGCCUGUAUGAGCUCCCUACAACGCUUGGGCAUGCUCCUGAUGAGGUGGCGGAUGGUCUCCAGAGGGAUCUCCUCCCAGACCUGGACUAAAGCAUCCGCCAACUCCUGGACAGUCUGUGGUGCAACGUGGCGUUGGUGGAUGGAGCGAGACAUGAUGUCCCAGAUGUGCUCAAUUGGAUUCAGGUCUGGGGAACGGGCGGGCCAGUCCAUAGCAUCAAUGCCUUC
This is a long non-coding RNA of Oncorhynchus mykiss (rainbow trout), 5509 nucleotides long. Lineage: Eukaryota; Metazoa; Chordata; Actinopteri; Salmoniformes; Salmonidae. The record is from Ensembl.